UACGAAGGGGGCUAGCGUUGCUCGGAAUCACUGGGCGUAAAGCGCACGUAGGCGGGUUCUUAAGUCAGGGGUGAAAUCCUGGAGCUCAACUCCAGAACUGCCUUUGAUACUGGGAAUCUCGAGUCCGGGAGAGGUGAGUGGAACUGCGAGUGUAGAGGUGAAAUUCGUAGAGAUCGGGUGGAACACCAGUGGCGAAGGCGCCUGUCUGGCUGACAACUGACGCUGAGACUCGAAAGCAUGGGGAGCAAACAGG
RNAcentral lists this ribosomal RNA (253 nucleotides) under uncultured bacterium. RNAcentral describes it as "partial 16S ribosomal RNA". It matches the Rfam family "Bacterial small subunit ribosomal RNA", at positions 524 to 776 of the family's 1533-position model. The record is from RNAcentral.